UUCAGGGUUCACCCCAGAAUACACAUUUACCGACAUUUGUGUGCUAAAGUGUGUAUGUGGGAGGUAACUCAGUACUGGCCCCUAGUGGUGAAAAGUGAUACUGCAGCCAUACACACUUGUACACACACUUGAUUGAAAUAUGCUAUGCAACAGCCCUCUGAGAUUAAGCUAGCUUCUUUAACUUAAGAUGACUAUUCAUUCCACUUGAAUGAAAGGAUAUAGUAGAAGUUUUAAGUUAUAGAUCAUGGGACAAGGUAAGGUAGAGCCAUAUUCAUCUGUUGCUCGUGACUAACAGAUUUAUGACAAAGAAGUCAGCAACAUAAUGAUAAAAACUGAAAAAAUGCUUUUAGAUCUUGCUUAUUUAUUUAUUUAUUUAUUUCCCAAGGUAGCCUUUUUGAAUCAAUGGUAAACUGAUUUGAUUUAGCGUCAAAAGUUAGUUGUCCAGGUUUGAAGCAUCAUGGUUAUAUAUAGCUUGUGAAUGUGAACCUUUAGAUUAUAGAAAUGCUCCAAGGGAUUUCUCAAAACAUUAGUCCCUGGCACCUAAUAUUAAGUGAUUUGUGAGCACAAGCCUUCUUGUGGCUACUGCUUUUCUGAAGUCAUCCACCAGAAUAUGGUGAAUAUGGUAAAAAAAAACACUUUGGAGCAUUUAAAAGAAGAGGCUGUAACAAUAAAGUCAAUCACAUCAGAAGACAACCAUAUGUAAAAUAUUCUGCAUUAGUUUUAAUUAUGAAUUAAUUUAGAUUUUUUAUAUUGACCAGUUAUUUGAAAUGUUAAGUUAAACCACAAUUUUUCAUGAUGCUAUUUUUGUGAUCAGACAAAAUUGAACUGCAAAUGUAUGACAAAUUUAAUAAAGAUUUUAUAUUACCUCGCCUUAACUUAAAGUCUGGUUUUAGAUUUAAACAGUAAACGUUGUUUAGCCUCUGGCUCACCUAUUGGUGUCAUGAGUUUGGCAGCUGCCACUUUGUCUAGGGGGUUAGCCAUAUAUUCAGACUUACCAAAACAAGUAAUAAAAAAAGGUGAGACAAACCCAUAUCUGAGAUGGACAUUUACACAUAUAAAGAGAUUUGGUUGGUCUGGUAAACUGAUGUUAAUGCUCUCGCACAUCAUGAGUUAAAAACUUACAGCUCUUUGACUCUUAGAAACAUUUGCUCAAUAACAUGAUUUUGUACUGAGAAUGACUUUUAGAAAUGUAAUUUAUGGCAUUACAAUAGACAAAAACUGAAUAAAUUAUAUUGGUCCAUUGUAAAUAAAGACCUGAUUUUUUUAUAUUCAUCAGAUAUUUGUAAUGCAAAACAAUCUGUAAAAAAGCUAGCAGUGUAAAUAGCCAGAUAGCUGACUUGUCAGCUAAUGUUAGCUGCUUCAGAAUGUAGCAGGAACAACAGGCUGUUGCUUCUUGCUAUCCUCUCCUCUCCUAAACACAUAAUUGUAGUGUUUUUGCUGCUGGGUGAACAAUCUGUAAAACUGUUAGCAGUGUACAUAGCCAGGUAGCUGACUUGUCAGCUAAUGUUAGCUGCUUCAGAAUGCAGCAGGAACAACAGGCUGCUGGUCCUGGCUAUCCUUUCCUCUCCUCAACACACAACUGUAGUGUUUUUGAUGUUGGGUGAACAAUCUGUAAAACUGUUAGCAGUGUACAUAGCCAGGUAGCUGACUUGUCAGCUAAUGUUAGCUACUUCACAAUGAAGCAGGAACAACAGUCUGCUGCUCCUGGCUAUCCUCUCCUCUCCUCAACACACAACUGUAGUACUUUUGCUGUUGGGUGAACAAUCUGUAAAACUGUUAGCAGUGUACAUAGCCAGGUAGCUGACUUGUCAGCUAAUGUUAGCUGCUACAGAAGGUAGCAGAAACAACAGUCUGCUGCUCCUGGCUAUCCUCUCCUCUCCUCAACACACAUUGUAAUGUUUUUGCUGCUGGGUGAACAAUCUGUAAAAAAGUUAGCAGUGUCCAUAAGCAGGUAGCCAAAGUGUCGGCUAAUGUUAGCUGCCACAGAAGAUAGCAGGAACAAAAGGCUGCUGCUCCUGGCUAUCAUUUCCUCUCCUCAGUACACAACAACUGUAGUGAUUUGCUGCUGGGUGAACCAUCUGUAAAACUGUUAGCAGUGUACAUAGCCAGGUAGCUGACUUGUCAGCUAAUGUUAGCUACUUCACAAUGAAGCAGG
This 2155-nucleotide long non-coding RNA is filed under the name Xyrichtys novacula (pearly razorfish). Lineage: Eukaryota; Metazoa; Chordata; Actinopteri; Labriformes; Labridae. The record is from RNAcentral.